Molecule: ribosomal RNA, 497 nt
Filed under: uncultured bacterium
Lineage: Bacteria
Description: partial 16S ribosomal RNA
Rfam family: Bacterial small subunit ribosomal RNA
Source: RNAcentral
GAUGAACGCUGGCGGCGUGCCUAAUACAUGCAAGUCGAGCGAACAGACGAGGAGCUUGCUCCUCUGACGUUAGCGGCGGACGGGUGAGUAACACGUGGAUAACCUACCUAUAAGACUGGGAUAACUUCGGGAAACCGGGGCUAAUACCGGAUAAUAUAUUGAACCGCAUGGUUCAAUAGUGAAAGACGGUUUUGCUGUCACUUAUAGAUGGAUCCGCGCCGCAUUAGCUAGUUGGUAAGGUAACGGCUUACCAAGGCAACGAUGCGUAGCCGACCUGAGAGGGUGAUCGGCCACACUGGAACUGAGACACGGUCCAGACUCCUACGGGAGGCAGCAGUAGGGAAUCUUCCGCAAUGGGCGAAAGCUUGACGGAGCAACGCCGCGUGAGUGAUGAAGGUCUUCGGAUCGUAAAACUCUGUUAUUAGGGAAGAACAAAUGUGUAAGUAGCUAUGCACGUCUUGACGGUACCUAAUCAGAAAGCCACGGCUAACUACGUG